RNAcentral lists this ribosomal RNA (459 nucleotides) under uncultured bacterium. RNAcentral describes it as "partial 16S ribosomal RNA". It matches the Rfam family "Bacterial small subunit ribosomal RNA", at positions 338 to 795 of the family's 1533-position model. The record is from RNAcentral.
ACUACGGGUGGCAGCAGUGAGGAAUAUUGGUCAAUGGGCGGAAGCCUGAACCAGCCAAGUAGCGUGCAGGAUGACGGCCCUACGGGUUGUAAACUGCUUUUAUACGGGAAUAACGCGCCUUACGUGUAGGGCUUUGCAUGUACCGUAUGAAUAAGGACCGGCUACUUCCGUGACCGCAGCCCCGGUACUAGGGAAGGUCCGUGCGUGAUCCGGAUGUAUUGGGUUACAAGGGUGCGCAGGCGGAGGUGCAAGUCAGGGGUCCAAUUGCGGGGCUCCACCCCGUACUGCCGUUGAAACUGCAUCCCUUGAGUGCGCGAGAAGUAUGCGGAAUGCGUGGUGUAGCGGUGAAAUGCAUAGAUAUCACGCAGAACUCCGAUUGCGAAGGCAGCAUACCGGCGCGCAACUGACGCUCAUGCACGAAAGCGUGGGUAUCGAACAGGAUUAGAUACCCCAGUAGUC